This is a long non-coding RNA of Phasianus colchicus (ring-necked pheasant), 1747 nucleotides long. The record is from Ensembl. Lineage: Eukaryota; Metazoa; Chordata; Aves; Galliformes; Phasianidae.
GGCCGCCGUCGAAGCCGCCUCGGCUUUGGCUCACCGUUUUUUGGUGCCCCAUUUCGACCCCGUGGUGGCCGAACUCGUCAGCUGCCCCAUAGAUUUAUGGGGUCUGGCCGAAAGAUCUGCGUCCCCUAUUUUGGCCCUAAAAGCCGCCAGAAGGAUUUUAGGGUUGGGGUCUCCUCCAAGGGCCGGAGGGGAUUUGGGGGACGGGGAGGGGGUGAAGGCGGUGGCCAGGAGGUUGGCGACGGUGGCCGAGGUGACCAAGUGGCCCCAAAGGUUGGCUGGGGCUUUGGGGGCGGCGGUGGGGGGGGAUUUGGGGUCCGGAUGGGGUGGGGAGGUGGAUAUGGGGCCGCCUUGGGACGGCGGGGAUCCGUUGGUGGGGCCUUUUGGGGUCGUUGGGGAGGAGUUUGGGGACGUCCGAGGUGAGGAGGGGGAGGUUGAGAUGGAGGUUGGGGGCGUCUGAAGGGACUUUGGGGUCAUCGAAAGGAUUUGGGGUCAGCCAUGAAGACUUUGGGGUCAACCAAGAGGACUUUGGGGGCAUCGAAAGGAUUUGGGGUCAGCCAUGAAGACUUUGGGGUCAACCAAGUGGACUUUGGGGUCAUCGAAGGGAUUUGGGGUCAGCCAUGAAGACUUUGGGGUCAACCAAGUGGACUUUGGGGUCUUCGAAAAAAUUUGGGGUCAGCCAUGAAGACUUUGGGGUCAACCAAGAGGACUUUGGGGUCUUCGAAAGGAUUUGGGGUCAUCCGUGAAGAUUUUGGGGUCGACCAAGAGGACUUUGGGGUCAUCGAAAUGAUUUGGGGUCAACCAAGAGGACUUUGGGGUCAUCAAAAGGAUUUGGGGUCAACCAAGAGGACUUUGGGGUCAUUGAAAGGAUUUGGGGUCAACCAAGAGGACUUUGGGGUCAACCAAGUGGACUUUGGGGUCAUCAAAAGGAUUUGGGGUCAACCAAGAGGACUUUGGGGUCAAGUAAGAGGACUUUGGGGUCAUCCAAAGGUUUUGGGGUCAUUUCCAUGGAGGUUGGGGGUCCCAUAGGGUCCUCAGUGACCCCAUAGUGAUGUGGGUGACCCCAUAAGGAUCUCAGGGGCCCCAUAGGGACGUUGUUGACCCCAUAGGGACCUUAGUGGCCCCAUAGCAACCUCAGUGACCCCAUAAGGACCUCAGUGGCCCCAUAGGGAUGUGGGUGACCCCAUAGGGAUCUCAGGGGCCCCAUAGGGACGUGGUUGACCCCAUAGGGAUCUCAGGGGCCCCAUAGGAACGUGGUUGACCCCAUAGGGACCUUAGUGGCCCCAUAGCAACCUCAGUGACCCCAUAAGGACCUCAGUGGCCCCAUAGGGACGUGGGUGACCCCAUAGGAACCUUAGUGGCCCCAUAGGGAUAUGGUUGAUCCUAUAAAGACCUUAGUGGCCCCAUAGGGACGUGGUUGACCCCAUAGGGAUCUCAGGGGCACAAUAGGGAUGUGGGUGACCCCAUAGGGACCUCGGUGGCCCUAUAGGGACGGAGUUGACCCCAUAGGGACCUUAGUGACCCCAUAGGGACCUCAGUGACCCCAUAGAGAUGUGGGUAACCCCAUAGGGACCUCAUUGACCCCAUAACGAUGUGGAUGAACCCAUAAAGACCUCAGUGACCCCAUAGGGACCUCAGUGACCCCAUAGGGACGUGGGUGACCCCAAAUGGUGCUGGCAGCCCCAUAAGUGUGGGGCGGUGUGCGGUGGUUGGAUGUAAUAAAUGAGAGUGAGUGCACGGCUCUGCCCCA